RNAcentral lists this ribosomal RNA (836 nucleotides) under Pezicula sp. RNAcentral's name for it is "partial large subunit ribosomal RNA". It matches the Rfam family "Eukaryotic large subunit ribosomal RNA", at positions 79 to 932 of the family's 3401-position model. Lineage: Eukaryota; Fungi; Ascomycota; Leotiomycetes; Helotiales; Dermateaceae. The record is from RNAcentral.
CUCAGUAACGGCGAGUGAAGCGGUAACAGCUCAAAUUUGAAAUCUGGGUCUUUCAGGCUCCGAGUUGUAAUUUGUAGAAGAUGCUUUGGGUGCGGCCCCGGUCUAAGUUCCUUGGAACAGGACGUCAUAGAGGGUGAGAAUCCCGUAUGUGAUCGGUGGCCUGCGCCCGUGUAAAGCUCUUUCGACGAGUCGGGUUGUUUGGGAAUGCAGCUCUAAAUGGGUGGUAAAUUUCAUCUAAAGCUAAAUAUUGGCCAGAGACCGAUAGCGCACAAGUAGAGUGAUCGAAAGAUGAAAAGGACUUUGGAAAGAGAGUUAAACAGUACGUGAAAUUGUUGAAAGGGAAGCGCUUGCAACCAGACUUGCGCGGGGUCGAUCAUCCGGGGUUCUCUCCGGUGCACUCGGCCUCGCUCAGGCCAGCAUCGGUUUCGGUGGUUGGAUAAAGGCCUUGGGAAUGUGACUCCUCUCGGGGAGUGUUAUAGCCCUCGGUGCAAUGCAGCCUACUGGGACCGAGGACCGCGCUUCGGCUAGGAUGCUGGCGUAAUGGUUGUAAGCGACCCGUCUUGAAACACGGACCAAGGAGUCUAACAUCUAUGCGAGUGUUUGGGUGUCAAACCCAUACGCGUAAUGAAAGUGAACGGAGGUGAGAACCCUUAAGGGUGCAUCAUCGACCGAUCCUGAUGUCUUCGGAUGGAUUUGAGUAGGAGCAUAGCUGUUGGGACCCGAAAGAUGGUGAACUAUGCCUGAAUAGGGUGAAGCCAGAGGAAACUCUGGUGGAGGCUCGCAGCGGUUCUGACGUGCAAAUCGAUCGUCAAAUUUGGGUAUAGGGGCGAAAGACU